This is a long non-coding RNA of Monopterus albus (swamp eel), 1412 nucleotides long. RefSeq lists it as uncharacterized. The record is from RefSeq and is a predicted model, not a curated record. The transcript is spliced from 5 exons. Lineage: Eukaryota; Metazoa; Chordata; Actinopteri; Synbranchiformes; Synbranchidae.
AUCACUGCAUGCACCGAAGUCAGCUACCUGGGUCCGCCUCUUUCUCGUUCGCUCACUGACAGGUGUGAACGGCACCUAACAGAAAUGUAUCAUUUUGUCUGUACAAAGGAAUAUUUAGUGCAUGUGAAUGUUUGCAAAUAUACAGAUCUUAGCUGCACAAGUUAAUACUGUGUUGUGGGCAAAUGUUUUUGACUUGUGUGCACAAAAUGAGUAUAGUAUCUUGGGCAAACCAGAUAAAUGCCCAUCUAUUCCAAAACAUACCAUAAAGCUUUAUUAACUCUCUGUAAUAUGAAAAACUGUAAAAGUAUUUUGUCUCUUGUGAAAAGUUAGUACAGAGCCCCACGAAUGUCUCAUAUAAACAUGAACUGUAUCUUGUGUCUUUACAUUGAUAUCUUCCAUGAACAAAUAAAAAUCAGCAGACUUUCAUUUCUGUUUAACUAUUUAAUUAUUUAAAUCACUUAAUUUCUAUUGGCAUCAAUAUACUCGCUCACUUGCAGAUAUUAUUUUAAAUAAAGUAAAAUAUUUAUGCACUGAAAACAACUCUGUGCUUGCAGGUUUGGUUUUCUGACAGUGGAGUUUCAGCACUCAGUGAACAAGCUGUAGGUCUAACCAUGCAGCCUCAGAUAAGACGUUAGCCAAAUGAUUAUAUGCACUGCUGUUAUUCACUCUACUCAUCAUCUGGGGCCCUUUAAGCCUUCCACUGCCAGAGUUUUCACUGAGCUCACAGGUGGUUGAAAUCAUGUUGAUUAGGUCUUAGGUUGGACACUAGGACAAAUACUGUUUCACCUCCAAUUCACAAGGUGGUGGUGAUGCACCUGAAAAAGCAACAGAAGAAGAAGGAAGUGUCCUUGUCUGACAACCACCAGUAAACACCUGCAUGUUUUAGUCUGUGUUUCAGCUGAAGGGAACGUCUGUCUUGGGGAUAUUUUCCCAGUGAAUGGUAUCUGCGCAGCAGCUGAAGGUUUUCAAGCAUGCUGGAAUUGUCGCUCCCAAGUGAACGCCUGCAGACACACACUGACGCCUGCAGACACAUGCAGACAGCCUCUGAACCCACACACUACCCUGCUGUUUCCAGGAGGCAGAGCAGCUUGUCUCCUAACCAGAGGGUUGGUGGUUCAAGUCCCAGCUUCUCCAUUCCACAUCUCCAAGUGUCUUUGGCUGGCACUGUGUCAAUAAUCCACCUCGUCUGUCUGACCUUUCACCUCCAACUCUGAUGUCCUCAGGUCAGUUCUCUGUCUGUUUUCUCAGCUGUUUGCCCUCUAAUCAGCCUCUGACCUUUGAGACAAAAUGAGGUUCAGGGAGGUUUUGUGUCGUUAUCUGUGUCCAAAGGUCACAUAAACUCAGCUGAACAAAACGGGCAGUAGAAACCAAAGGUCACAUAAACUCAGCUGAACAAAACGGGCAGUAGAAAC